RNAcentral lists this ribosomal RNA (468 nucleotides) under uncultured bacterium. RNAcentral describes it as "partial 16S ribosomal RNA". It matches the Rfam family "Bacterial small subunit ribosomal RNA", at positions 28 to 507 of the family's 1533-position model. The record is from RNAcentral.
GACGAACGCUGGCGGCGUGCUUAACACAUGCAAGUCGAACGGAAAGGCCCUGCUUUUGUGGGGUUCUCGGGUGGGGAACGCGUGAGUAACACGUGUGUAACCUGCCCUUGACUUUGGGAUAACUUCAGGAAACUGGGGCUAAUACCGGAUAGGAUCUCCUGCUGCAUGGUGGGCGUUGGAAAGUUUCGGCGGUUGGGGAUGGACUCGCGGCUUAUCAGCUUGUUGGUGGGGUAGUGGCUUACCCAGGCUUUGACGGGUAGCCGGCCUGGGAGGGUGACCGGCGACAUUGGGACUGCGAUACGGAGCAGACUGCUACGGGAGGCAGCAGUGGGGAAUAUUGCACAAUGGGCGGACGCGUGAUGCAGAGGCGCCGGGUGCGGAAUGACGGCCUUCGGGUUGUAAACCGCUGUCGCCUGUGACGAAGCGUGAGUGACGGUAAUGAGUAAAGAAGCACCGGCUAACUACGUG